AACGAACGCUGGCGGCGUGCCUAACACAUGCAAGUCGAACGUGAAAGGGGGCAACCCCCGGUAGCGUGGCAGACGGGUGAGUAACACGUGGGUAACCUACCCGGAGGUGGGGGAGUAACCCUUCGAAAGGAGGGCUAAUACCGCAUGACACCGCGGGGACCUCGGUCCCUGCGAUCAAAGCUGGCCUCUGUUUACAAGCUAGCGCCACCGGAUGGGCCCGCGCCCCAUUAGCUAGUUGGUGAGGUAACGGCUCACCAAGGCGACGAUGGGUAGCCGGCCUGAGAGGGCGAUCGGCCACACUGGAACUGCGACACGGUCCAGACUCCUACGGGAGGCAGCAGUGAGGAAUAUUGCGCAAUGGGCGAAAGCCUGACGCAGCGACGCCGCGUGGAGGAUGAAGGUCUUCGGAUUGUAAACUCCUGUCGAGUGGGACGAAUGCCGUGA
RNAcentral lists this ribosomal RNA (444 nucleotides) under uncultured bacterium. RNAcentral's name for it is "bacterial SSU rRNA". It matches the Rfam family "Bacterial small subunit ribosomal RNA", at positions 29 to 457 of the family's 1533-position model. The record is from RNAcentral.